Molecule: long non-coding RNA, 3817 nt
Filed under: Pan troglodytes (chimpanzee)
Lineage: Eukaryota; Metazoa; Chordata; Mammalia; Primates; Hominidae
Description: lincRNA
Source: RNAcentral
AUGAUCCUUCAGGACAGGACGCACGGGGCAAACGCCUGGGCACGGAACCGGGGACGGGGCAGCGCCCUCAGGCAGGGUGUCCACGGGGUGCCCCAGGGCUGCCGGAACAAAGACCCCAAUACUGCGGGGCUUAAAACAACAGAAACGUGUUGUCCUCCAUUCUGGAGGCCAGGAGUCUGACUUCAGGGUGUGGGCAGGGCCGCCUUCCCUGCGGCUUCCGGGAGAAGCUCCUUCCUGCCUCCUCUUCCGGCUUCCUGCCUCUUCCGGCUUCCUGCCUCUUCCGGCUUCCUGCCUCUUCCGGCUUCCUGCCUCUUCCGGCUUCCCGCCCCGGUGUCCCCAGGUGUCCUCAGCAGCCGCUGCAUCGCUCCGGUCUCUGCAUCUGUCUGCACAAGGCCAUCUUUCCGGGCACCUGUUUCCUUUCUGUGUCCCCUCCGCUUCCUAUAUGGACACGAGUCAUAGGACUGAGGGCCUACCCUGCUCCUGUGUGACGUCAUCUAAACUUAAUCACUCAUAUCUGCCAAGAAUCUAUUUCCAGCUACAGUCACAGUCUGAGGUUCUGGAUGAACAUUUUGGAAACUAUUCAACCCACUGCAUUACCCAGCUGUGGAGAGAGAGAUAUAUAUAUAUAUAUUUAUUUUUUAGAGACAGGGUCUCGCGGUGUUGCCCAGGCUGGAGGGCAGUGGCUCUUCACAGACAGUCACCGUGUGCUACAGCUUCCAACUCCUGGGCUCGAACCAUCCUCCUGUGUCAGCCCCAUGAGUACUGGGGAGCACAGGUGUGUGGCACUGUGUCCGGCUGUGGUGACGGAUGGAGCCCCCGACACGGGUUUGUAACUCAAGGCACUGACAUCCAACCUGAAGGGCAAGAGCAGGGCAGCGAAAGUGCUGCAGACGGAGGCCUCUUCAAGCCUGGACACCUGCGGGAGAGAAAGCCCCAGGAGCCAGGAUCACCGAACACCAAAAGACGUCCCGCUCUGGAAAGAGGCUGCCGCCUCAACAAACAGGAGGAGUCACAGCUGAGAAACCAGAGGCCUCCAUACAGUGAGUUGGCGCCAGGCGCAGGCCCGUCAUUGUGUCAUCAUCACCACCCUCCACGCAAAGAACUUCUCAUCACACAAAAGCGAAAUUCUGCUGGGAAGGACCUUGUAUGUCACUGCCACGCUUGAUGAGAGAGAACUUCUUAUUUCUGUUUUAAUCCUCGCCUCCUGUUCAUACGGCAGCCUGUGCUUUGGAAUUGCUCCAACCACAGCAUCUGCAUGGCAGUCUCCCUACCUGCUCAGCUGGGAAGUGCAGGCCCCCCAGGGGUCCAGCCCAGGAGGUGGGGGCUGCUGGGCUCCACCCAAGGAGAGGAGCCUGUGCCUGGGCCCAUCCCCCAGCCAUGCCAGCCACACCCAGCUGGGACCUGCGGGACCCUGGGCACAGGCAGGACUCACCCCUGGACCUGUGGCACGGGCAGAGGGGCCAGGCAGCAGAGGCCACCUAAGUCCAAUUCCCCAGAAUAGUCACUGCCACGAAGGGAGGCAGAGGUGGAAAUCCCUCCUGGACUUGGGAGCUUUGUGAAAUCGACGCUUAGUCAAGGUGAUUCUCCCAGGAGCCUGUGUAGCUACCGGCAGAUGCCAGGCACUCUCCUGCUGGCUAUGCACAGAGCUUUCCCCACUAUUUAUCCAGUCAGCUUCUUACAGUCGUCACUUUCUCCAAAUGUGAAAAACCACAUGCGUUUCAUAUGUCUCUUCCUCAGAAAUACCUGACUGCGAGGUGGAGACUCUUUCCCUCUCAGUAUGUUCAUUCUCUUGACAAUGCCUGCUCCUUGCCUUCGUGUUCAAGCCGACAAUGUUAAACACACACAUUGAACACAUUUAUUGACAUUUCUUCUUCUUCUUUUUUUUUUUUUUUGAAAUGGAGUCUCGCUCUGUCGCCCAGGCUGGAGGGCAGUGGCGCGAUAUCAGCUCACUGCAAGCUCUGCCUCCCAGGUUCACGUCAUUCUCCUGCCUCAGCCUCCUGAGUAGCUGGGACUACAGGUGCCCGCCACCGUGCCUGGCUAAUUUUUUGUAUUUUUAGUAGAGACGGGGUUUCACCCUGUUAGCGAGGAUGGUCUCGAUCUCCUGACCUCGUGAUCUGCCCACCUUGGCCUCCCAAAGUGCUGGGAUUACAGGCGUGAGCCACCGCGCCCGGCCCAAUAUUUAUUGACAUUUCAUAGAAGAGCCCUCAGCCACAACGCUGAUUCUGUGGGUUAAAUUAGUUAAUACCCCUCCAAGUGGCAGUGAUGUUCAGAUGUGUCGCUCAUGUUCCUGUCUCAUGAAAUGCGGGUAAAAGUGAUGCCUGCAGCUGCCGUUUGCAUGUGUUUGGAAAUUAAGUGUGGGGUUACUGAUGGCCCAUCGAAGAGAAGGAAUUACUUAUUCCCUGUAAUAUUGAGACCUUUCCAGUUUAUCCUGUAAGAAGGCUCUGGAGGAUGUCACCGUGGAGAGAGCUGAGACUGCUGUUGACCUCAUGGGUCUUCAUGGGGAGACGUGUUCAGCCGAUCAACUUGUUAAAAGCAUGAGGCCCUGGCUUUGAGCAAGUGGAGGGUUUAGAGACGGACCAGAGUGGACUCACUGUCUGUUCUCCCCCAGGCAGUUUUGCUGCUUACAAGUAUUUGCCUUGAGAUGCCUUUAAUCAGCUGCUUCCCUGCGGUUCCUGCGGGAUCAGCCAGCUGUGAGCAUCAUCACAUGUGCCAGGCUGGCUGGGUCAUGAUGCCAUCUUCUCCAGUGGCCCCAGACUCAGACGUGUGGUCCGGGGAAGAGACACCAGGAUAGGCAGCGGGGCAGCAAUGGCUGUUCUGCUUUUGAGGCCAGGGGAUGCAGCUCUGGGGCCCACUGCAGCCACUCGGCUGUGGGGGACAGAAAGGUCUCCCAGUUUCCACAGCCUCUGUCCUGUCACCUUGCAGCUUUGCCCCCCAAAAGACACGGAGGCUCUUUCGUCACUCCUCGAAUCUGGGCUGGGCCUGAGGCUUACUUUGGCCAAUAGACUGUGGGGGAAAGAAGAAUGUGCUGUCUUCUGGGGCCUCAAGGGGCCUUGCAAGUCUCUGCUCUCUCAGACCCCUGCUGGACCCGGGGGCUGGCCUGCUGGAGAAUGAGAGAGGAGAGGGGAGUGCCCAUUUGUUCCAGUCAAGGCCAUCCUAGGCCAGCUGACACCCAGCCGAUCCCCAGACACGGGAGAGAGCCCAGAUAACCAUGGCAGAACCGCCUUGGGACCCACAACGGACCUCAGACACAUGAGUGGACCCAGCUGAGACCACACCUGCCCAGCUGUCCACAAAUGUGUGAGCAGUACUACCUGUUUAUCACUUCAGGCCACUUACUGUGGGUUGCUUGUUAUGCAGCAGUGGCUGACGGAUGCAACUGACCACUGUGAGUGGCUGCACAGAUAGGAGUCCAGGCCUAGCUCAUAGCAAGGUAUUUCUGCAGUUUGCCAGGAAGAAGAAAGGAAGAAAAAGGAGAAGAAAGGGAAGUGGAGGGGAGGUGCAGGGCUGGGCUUCUGGUUCAAGCCCACAGGUGCUGUCCUCACAGGUGUUCUGUGGCUCCCGAGAGGGCGCAGUGGCUCUGCUGGGCUAGGAACUGAGCGCGAACUUUCCUGGUGCCUGAAUAUUAGCAACAUUCCUUCCCAGCACUGACUGCAGAGGGUAAGAGCCGGAAACUACAAUUUGGAAAUUUAAUUAUAUCUCCGGAAGAAAUGUAUGCUUCUUAGAAUGAUUUUAUUCAAAAAGCCUUCAAAAAAUAGAACCUACUUUUCCCCUAUAUUGUGAUUAAUUCAAACCAAAUAAAAGGAACCGUUGAACUCUU